This 356-nucleotide unclassified non-coding RNA is filed under the name soil metagenome. Its description in RNAcentral is "partial contains 5.8S ribosomal RNA, internal transcribed spacer 2, and large subunit ribosomal RNA". The stretch from base 1 to 121 matches the Rfam family "5.8S ribosomal RNA", at positions 35 to 154 of the family's 154-position model. The record is from RNAcentral.
GAUGAAGGAACGUAGCGAAAUGCGAUAAGUAAUGUGAAUUGCAGAAUUCAGUGAAUCAUCGAAUCUUUGAACGCACAUUGCGCCCAUUAGUAUUCUAGUGGGCAUGCCUGUUCGAGCGUCAUUAAGUCCACUUAAGCCCUGCUUAGUGUUGGGAGACUGCUCCAGCGGUGCUACCCUGUAGCUACCCUGCAGCUCCUCAAAGACAGCGGCGGAGUUGUGGUAUCCUCUGAGCUUAGUAACUUGUUCUAGCUUUCGAGUACACCACUUCCCCUGCCGUAAAACCCUUAAUUUUUAAUGGUUGACCUCGGAUCAGGUAGGAAUACCCGCUGAACUUAAGCAUAUCAAUAAGCGGAGGA